Molecule: small nucleolar RNA, 218 nt
Organism: Raphanus sativus (radish)
Lineage: Eukaryota; Viridiplantae; Streptophyta; Magnoliopsida; Brassicales; Brassicaceae
Product: small nucleolar RNA U3
Exons: 1
Source: RefSeq, a predicted model, not a curated record
ACGACCUUACUUGAACAGGAUCUGUUCUAUAGGCUCGUACCUCUGUAUCCUUGAUUUCUAAGGAGACAGGUCCCUAAACCUGGUUGAUGAAUCAUGGCCGUGCGAUCUGAGUGUGAUUAACGGUUAAGAUUCUCCUCGGAGUCUCUGCAGCUGUAGAGGAUCGCUAUCUGGUUAAGUCUUGACUUCUCCGGAGUGGUCGCACGGUUGUCUGACAGGCC